Telopea speciosissima is the source of this 193-nucleotide long non-coding RNA. RefSeq lists it as uncharacterized. The transcript has 3 exons. Lineage: Eukaryota; Viridiplantae; Streptophyta; Magnoliopsida; Proteales; Proteaceae. The record is from RefSeq and is a predicted model, not a curated record.
CACAUAUCUAUGGUUAGGCUCACAUUCGUUCAGUUGGCUUCCCAAGUGACCUUACUGAAAUACAACCUCUGUUCAUAUCAUACGAUUUGCAGGUAAAAAAUCAAUCAAAGCAUCUCUACACAUAUAAGGACUCCUCUCACAAACCUGAGUAGAUCCUUUUUUUUUGUGUGGUGCGUAUGGGAGCUUCUAGUUG